GUGGGGAAUAUUGGACAAUGGGCGAAAGCCUGAUCCAGCCAUGCCGCGUGUGUGAAGAAGGUCUUCGGAUUGUAAAGCACUUUAAGUUGGGAGGAAGGGCAGUAAGUUAAUACCUUGCUGUUUUGACGUUACCGACAGAAUAAGCACCGGCUAACUUCGUGCCAGCAGCCGCGGUAAUACGAAGGGUGCAAGCGUUAAUCGGAAUUACUGGGCGUAAAGCGCGCGUAGGUGGUUUUGUAAGUUGGAGGUGAAAUCCCCGGGCUCAACCUGGGAACUGCCUCCAAAACUGGCGAGCUAGAGUACGGUAGAGGGUGGUGGAAUUUCCUGUGUAGCGGUGAAAUGCGUAGAUAUAGGAAGGAACACCAGUGGCGAAGGCGACCACCUGGACUGAUACUGACACUGAGGUGCGAAAGCGUGGGGAGCAAACAGGAUUAGAUACCCUAGUAGUCC
This 450-nucleotide ribosomal RNA is filed under the name uncultured bacterium. Its description in RNAcentral is "partial 16S ribosomal RNA". It matches the Rfam family "Bacterial small subunit ribosomal RNA", at positions 354 to 796 of the family's 1533-position model. The record is from RNAcentral.